ACCUGGAUGACAAGUGUCACGUAUAUCAGAU
This 31-nucleotide non-coding RNA is filed under the name Mus musculus (house mouse). Lineage: Eukaryota; Metazoa; Chordata; Mammalia; Rodentia; Muridae. The record is from RNAcentral.